GAUGAACGCUAGCGGCAGGCUUAACACAUGCAAGUCGAGGGGCAGCAUGACACGGAGAUUCGUCGAAGUGUUGAUGGCGACCGGCGCAAGGGUGCGUAACGCGUGAGCAACUUGCCCGUUUCUGGGGAAUAACCGGUGGAAACGCCGACUAAUACCCCAUAGUAUUGGAUUUAGGCAUCUUUAUCCAAUUAAAGAAUUUCGGAAACGGAUAGGCUCGCGUGACAUUAGCUAGAUGGCGGGGUAACGGCCCACCAUGGCGACGAUGUCUAGGGGUUCUGAGAGGAAGGUCCCCCACACUGGAACUGAGACACGGUCCAGACUCCUACGGGAGGCAGCAGUGAGGAAUAUUGGUCAAUGGUCGGAAGACUGAACCAGCCAAGUAGCGUGAAGGAUGAAGGUUCUAUGGAUUGUAAACUUCUUUUAUACGGGAUAAAACCUCCCACGUGUGGGAGCUUGUAUGUACCGUAUGAAUAAGCAUCGGCUAACUCCGUGCCAGCAGCCGCGG
RNAcentral lists this ribosomal RNA (505 nucleotides) under uncultured bacterium. RNAcentral's name for it is "bacterial SSU rRNA". It matches the Rfam family "Bacterial small subunit ribosomal RNA", at positions 28 to 520 of the family's 1533-position model. The record is from RNAcentral.